RNAcentral lists this ribosomal RNA (491 nucleotides) under uncultured bacterium. Its description in RNAcentral is "partial 16S ribosomal RNA". It matches the Rfam family "Bacterial small subunit ribosomal RNA", at positions 29 to 506 of the family's 1533-position model. The record is from RNAcentral.
AGUGAACGCUGGCGGUAGGCCUAACACAUGCAAGUCGAACGGCAGCACAGUAAGAGCUUGCUCUUACGGGUGGCGAGUGGCGGACGGGUGAGGAAUACAUCGGAAUCUACUUUUUCGUGGGGGAUAACGUAGGGAAACUUACGCUAAUACCGCAUACGACCUACGGGUGAAAGCAGGGGAUCUUCGGACCUUGCGCGAUUGAAUGAGCCGAUGUCGGAUUAGCUAGUUGGCGGGGUAAAGGCCCACCAAGGCGACGAUCCGUAGCUGGUCUGAGAGGAUGAUCAGCCACACUGGAACUGAGACACGGUCCAGACUCCUACGGGAGGCAGCAGUGGGGAAUAUUGGACAAUGGGCGCAAGCCUGAUCCAGCCAUACCGCGUGGGUGAAGAAGGCCUUCGGGUUGUAAAGCCCUUUUGUUGGGAAAGAAAAGCAGCAGGUUAAUACCCCGCUGUUCUGACGGUACCCAAAGAAUAAGCACCGGCUAACUUUGU